Molecule: ribosomal RNA, 279 nt
Filed under: uncultured bacterium
Lineage: Bacteria
Description: partial 16S ribosomal RNA
Rfam family: Bacterial small subunit ribosomal RNA
Source: RNAcentral
UGCCAGCCGCCGCGGUAAUACGGAGGGGGUUAGCGUUGUUCGGAAUUAUUGGGCGUAAAGCGCGUGUAGGCGGUUCGUUAAGUCUGAUGUGAAAGCCCGGGGCUCAACCCCGGAAGUGCAUUGGAAACUGGCGAACUUGAGUACGGGAGAGGAAAGUGGAAUUCCGAGUGUAGGGGUGAAAUCCGUAGAUAUUCGGAGGAACACCAGUGGCGAAGGCGGCUUUCUGGCCUAAUACUGACACUGAGGCGCGAAAGCGUGGGGAGCAAACAGGAUUAGAUA